Molecule: ribosomal RNA, 300 nt
Filed under: Triticum aestivum (bread wheat)
Lineage: Eukaryota; Viridiplantae; Streptophyta; Magnoliopsida; Poales; Poaceae
Description: partial small subunit ribosomal RNA
Source: RNAcentral
AUGGAUCUCCCCAGCGGCAACGCCAACGCUAACGGCAUGUGCCUCCCCUACAACCUACUCCGGGACGUCCUCCGCCGCCUGCCGCCCCGGACCCUAGCCCUGUGCCGGGCGACCUGCCGCGCGUGGCGCGCCAUCAUCGACGACCACCACCUCCUACAGCCCGUCUACACGUACUUCCCAGGCGUCUUCAAGGAUCGUCUUCUUCGAUGCUGGGACGAUGGGCCCUCCUUCAUCCUCCCGCCGGACAUGGUGCUAGACCCACUCACCCGGAGAGUGCAUCGUAAAUCAGACGACACGUGA